This 404-nucleotide ribosomal RNA is filed under the name Actinomycetes bacterium. Its description in RNAcentral is "Actinobacteria bacterium partial 16S ribosomal RNA". It matches the Rfam family "Bacterial small subunit ribosomal RNA", at positions 355 to 776 of the family's 1533-position model. Lineage: Bacteria; Bacillati; Actinomycetota; Actinomycetes. The record is from RNAcentral.
UGGGGAAUAUUGGACAAUGGGCGCAAGCCUGAUCCAACCAUGCCGCGUGAGUGAUGAAGGCCCUAGGGUUGUAAAGCUCUUUCACCGGUGAAGAUAAUGACGGUAACCGGAGAAGAAGCCCCGGCUAACUUCGUGCCAGCAGCCGCGGUAAUACGAAGGGGGCUAGCGUUGUUCGGAUUUACUGGGCGUAAAGCGCACGUAGGCGGACUUUUAAGUCAGGGGUGAAAUCCCGGGGCUCAACCCCGGAACUGCCUUUGAUACUGGAAGUCUUGAGUAUGGUAGAGGUGAGUGGAAUUCCGAGUGUAGAGGUGAAAUUCGUAGAUAUUCGGAGGAACACCAGUGGCGAAGGCGGCUCACUGGACCAUUACUGACGCUGAGGUGCGAAAGCGUGGGGAGCAAACAGG